Long non-coding RNA from Hemicordylus capensis (graceful crag lizard), 1712 nucleotides. RefSeq lists it as uncharacterized. The transcript is spliced from 2 exons. NCBI's taxonomy places the organism in Eukaryota, Metazoa, Chordata, Lepidosauria, Squamata, Cordylidae. The record is from RefSeq and is a predicted model, not a curated record.
GGCGCGGUCAAAUGGAUGGUUGUGUGGAGAGUGAAGGUUUUGUGUGUGUGUUUUUUAAACUUUUGUUGGCUCCCAAAAAAUAAAAACAGAUUUGCCAGGGAACAAACUUGGAUCUGGUAUCCUGUUGUUGCACUUUUUUGAGAGAACAAACAAGUCUGGAAAAAUCUUUGACCUCUUUUCCUUUUUUUCUUCUUCCUUUGUCUUCAAAGAGCCUUCUGUAGCCUAUGAUAGGCUACAGAUGCAGCUCUACUAUGAUAGCUCUUCUAAGCCAAAAGUGAGAAGUCUUCAGUGUUAUCCAAACAAUGUGUAAAAUUAUCUUCCACCUUCUUUGACCAACCACUCAGGAAUGGCUUUUUAUGUGUCAGCUACAGCCAAUGGGUACCAACCGUCCAAAAACUUGUUUCCUGGCAUACCUCCUACUUGUAUUCGCCAGAUGAUGGAAGUUGUCCUUCUCUUUUGAUGAUCUUGGCCACAAGUGGUGUCCCAUAGAUUAACCAUAGUUCAUAAUUGUUGGAAUGUGGUGUGUAAUGCCAUGUGGUGGAGUGGGGAAACAGGGGGCAUAAUUAAUGUAACAAUAGCAUAGGCUGCACAUGGUACAUUUGAUGAAAUAGUCUUAGCAGUUAUUUCUGUGACUCAUCCAAAACUCAAGGGGGAGAAGCACACUGGCUGAAGCCACAGUGGUACCAUUUGCUCUAUGCUUAAUUCCUCAGACAAAAAGCACUGGGACUCAAAUAUGUCCAGGAGACCCUAAGUAUAAAGGGUUGGUUGUUGCUGCCCCAUGAUUGAGGUACAUUCUGCACAUGCUUAGAGGCACUAUUGUCUUCAUGAUGUUUUAGCAUGUCAUUGAGAACUGUUUCUGGGAAUUUAAGCCAUGCUCCAAAUCAGCUGUGUCAUGGAACACAUCCCUUUUGGGGAUGGAUUUGGUGGGUGUUUGCUCUCAAAUGACUAAAAGACGUUAAUAGUAAACCUAAGAAAAGCCACUCUAUAUUUCUAUGUGAGCCCUCAUUUUUACUGAGAACAGCACCUGUUGGUUGGCACCUUGUGCUUGGCCUUCACCUAUGUCCUCCCAACAAAACAAUGUCAUCAGUGCCUGACUUUAAAAAACCCUUUAACUGAGGCCUGAAACAGUGUGUUGGGGCAGAACGGAAAGAUCUAACAUGGCUUGGAGAUACCUGGGAUGGAAAUAUUACUUGUGCAAGCUGCUUCUUUAGCAAGCCCCUCUAAGAGAGAGAGAGGAACUACUUUUUUGAGCUUUUUUGAGCUUGCUUUUUGUAUUCCGAAUCCUUAGCAUCUUUGAGUUUUGUCUUUUUGUUCGUGGUCUUACUACUGCUGUGCAACUGAAAACCUCUGCUUAAGUCAUACUGUAUGCCUUGACAUGUCAAUGUGUGAGUGCUGAUUUUUUUAUUUUUAAUAAUUGGCAAUGAAGUGAUAUUAGAGGAGUAGCAAAACCCACUUCUUUUUUUAAAAAUUUGUCUGAACAGGUUAGCCUAGUCUAAUACCAUAGGAGUUUAUUUUAUUGGGAGAGGAAAAGCCUAAGUAGAGAUAAAAUAUACGUUCUUAGCAGGCACAUAUAUCUCCUAAUCAAAAACAUCAUAUCUGUGACAACCACAUGAUAUCUAGUAUCUACUGUAUAAAAAGGGUUGCAGAAAGGAAAAUGCAGCAUUAAUUGCGUUUAUGUUUGCUUCACAAGUAAUAAAUACAAACUUGCAAUA